GGGGAACAGACAAGACUAACAAGGAGAGAAACCUCAGAAAAAAAGAUUAUACAAGAGGGAAAAGCUAAAGCUUGUGGAAUCUUCCCAAUUCGAUAUGGAUUCGGGGAGUUUUGCAAGAGUCAAAGUUCUGAAGAUUUUAUUAUGGACACAAGGAGCACAGGACCAGGGAUAGGAACAUGUAGAAGUUUCGACAUAUCUCAAGAACUAGCCAAUUAGCUAAUGUAAUGGAAGUGUUUAAGAGUUGGCCAUGAGAUUUGUUUAAUACGUUAUUGGAUAUUUCAGAAUUUAUGAAGCAUUUUGAUUAUAUAAAUAUUGUAAAAAGGAUAAAACAUUCACACAACGCCAGUUAAAACUCGAAAUUGCAUG
Long non-coding RNA from Macadamia integrifolia, 366 nucleotides. RefSeq lists it as uncharacterized. The transcript is spliced from 2 exons. The record is from RefSeq and is a predicted model, not a curated record. NCBI's taxonomy places the organism in Eukaryota, Viridiplantae, Streptophyta, Magnoliopsida, Proteales, Proteaceae.